This 497-nucleotide ribosomal RNA is filed under the name uncultured bacterium. Its description in RNAcentral is "partial 16S ribosomal RNA". It matches the Rfam family "Bacterial small subunit ribosomal RNA", at positions 28 to 507 of the family's 1533-position model. The record is from RNAcentral.
GAUGAACGCUGGCGGCGUGCCUAAUACAUGCAAGUCGAGCGAACAGAUGAGGAGCUUGCUCCUCUGACGUUAGCGGCGGACGGGUGAGUAACACGUGGAUAACCUACCUAUAAGACUGGGAUAACUUCGUGAAACCGGAGCUAAUACCGGAUAAUAUAUUGAACCGCAUGGUUCAAUAGUGAAAGACGGUUUUGCUGUCACUUAUAGAUGGAUCCGCGCCGCAUUAGCUAGUUGGUAAGGUAACGGCUUACCAAGGCAACGAUGCGUAGCCGACCUGAGAGGGUGAUCGGCCACACUGGAACUGAGACACGGUCCAGACUCCUACGGGAGGCAGCAGUAGGGAAUCUUCCGCAAUGGGCGAAAGCCUGACGGAGCAACGCCGCGUGAGUGAUGAAGGUCUUCGGAUCGUAAACCUCUGUUAUUGGGGAAGAACAAAUGUGUAAGUAACUAUGCACGUCUUGACGGUACCUAAUCAGAAAGCCACGGCUAACUACGUG